RNAcentral lists this ribosomal RNA (503 nucleotides) under uncultured bacterium. Its description in RNAcentral is "partial 16S ribosomal RNA". It matches the Rfam family "Bacterial small subunit ribosomal RNA", at positions 30 to 523 of the family's 1533-position model. The record is from RNAcentral.
AUUGAACGCUGGCGGCAGGCUUAACACAUGCAAGUCGAGCGGGGUGAUGGUGCUUGCACUAUCACUUAGCGGCGGACGGGUGAGUAAUGCUUAGGAAUCUGCCUAUUAGUGGGGGACAACAUCUCGAAAGGGAUGCUAAUACCGCAUACGUCCUACGGGAGAAAGCAGGGGAUCACUUGUGACCUUGCGCUAAUAGAUGAGCCUAAGUCGGAUUAGCUAGUUGGUGGGGUAAAGGCCUACCAAGGAGACGAUCUGUAGCGGGUCUGAGAGGAUGAUCCGCCACACUGGGACUGAGACACGGACCAGACUCCUACGGGAGGCAGCAGUGGGGAAUAUUGGACAAUGGGGGGAACCCUGAUCCAGCCAUGCCGCGUGUGUGAAGAAGGCCUUAUGGUUGCAAAGCACUUUAAGCGAGGAGGAGGCUCUUUUGGUUAAUACCCAAGAUGAGUGGACGUUACUCGCAGAAUAAGCACCGGCUAACUACGUGCCAGCAGCCGCCGUAA